GAACGCUAGCGGCAGGCUUAAUACAUGCAAGUCGUGGGGCAGCAUGAGUAGCAAUACUUGAUGGCGACCGGCAAACGGGUGAGGAACACGUACACAACCUUCCUUCAAGCGGGGAAUAGCCCAGAGAAAUUUGGAUUAAUACCCCAUAAUAUAUUUGAUAAGGCAUCUUAUUAAUAUUAAAGCUUCGGCACUUGAUGAUGGGUGUGCGGCUGAUUAGAUAGUUGGCGGGGUAACGGCCCACCAAGUCUACGAUCAGUAGCUGAUGUGAGAGCAUGAUCAGCCACACGGGCACUGAGACACGGGCCCGACUCCUACGGGAGGCAGCAGUAAGGAAUAUUGGACAAUGGACGAAAGUCUGAUCCAGCCAUGCCGCGUGAAGGAUUAAGGUCCUCUGGAUUGUAAACUUCUUUUAUAUGGGACGAAAAAAGGGCAUUCUUGUUCACUUGACGGUACCAUAUGAAUAAGCACCGGCUAACUCCGUG
Molecule: ribosomal RNA, 482 nt
Filed under: uncultured bacterium
Lineage: Bacteria
Description: bacterial SSU rRNA
Rfam family: Bacterial small subunit ribosomal RNA
Source: RNAcentral